AAAAAAUUAGUUAAAUUAUAAUAUUAAAUUGUCAUUUUAAAGUAAUUAAUUUAUUUAAUAUUUUUUA
RNAcentral lists this transfer RNA (67 nucleotides) under Diospilus sp. M123. RNAcentral's name for it is "tRNA-Asp". The record is from RNAcentral. Lineage: Eukaryota; Metazoa; Arthropoda; Insecta; Hymenoptera; Braconidae.